Molecule: ribosomal RNA, 403 nt
Filed under: Fusobacteriota bacterium
Lineage: Bacteria; Fusobacteriati; Fusobacteriota
Description: Fusobacteria bacterium partial 16S ribosomal RNA
Rfam family: Bacterial small subunit ribosomal RNA
Source: RNAcentral
UGGGGAAUCUUGCACAAUGGGGGAAACCCUGAUGCAGCGACGCCGCGUGAGCGAUGAAGGUUUUCGAAUCGUAAAGCUCUGUCCUAUGGGAAGAUAAUGACGGUACCAUGGGAGGAAGCCCCGGCUAACUACGUGCCAGCAGCCGCGGUAAUACGUAGGGGGCGAGCGUUGUCCGGAAUUACUGGGCGUAAAGGGUUCGCAGGCGGCAUGGCAAGUCCGAUGUAAAAGGCGAAGGCUCAACCUUCGUAAGCAUCGGAAACUGUCAAGCUUGGGUGAAGGAGAGGCAAGUGGAAUUCCUAGUGUAGCGGUGGAAUGCGUAGAUAUUAGGAGGAAUACCGGUGGCGAAGGCGACUUGCUGGACUUCAACUGACGCUGAGGAACGAAAGCGUGGGUAGCAAACAGG